GCGGGCGUGGUACAAUGGUAGCACCUCAGCCUUCCAAGCUGAUGACGCGGGUUCGAUUCCCGCCGCCCGCUCCA
This 74-nucleotide transfer RNA is filed under the name Zetaproteobacteria bacterium CG1_02_49_23. Its description in RNAcentral is "tRNA-Gly". It matches the Rfam family "tRNA". From Rfam's summary of the family: Transfer RNA (tRNA) molecules are approximately 80 nucleotides in length. Their secondary structure includes four short double-helical elements and three loops (D, anti-codon, and T loops). Further hydrogen bonds mediate the characteristic L-shaped molecular structure. tRNAs have two regions of fundamental functional importance: the anti-codon, which is responsible for specific mRNA codon recognition, and the 3' end, to which the tRNAs corresponding amino acid is attached (by aminoacyl-tRNA synthetases). tRNAs cope with the degeneracy of the genetic code in two manners: having more than one tRNA (with a specific anti-codon) for a particular amino acid; and 'wobble' base-pairing, i.e. permitting non-standard base-pairing at the 3rd anti-codon position. The record is from RNAcentral. RNAcentral also lists the same sequence under 8 other names. Lineage: Bacteria; Pseudomonadati; Pseudomonadota; Candidatius Mariprofundia.